This 537-nucleotide long non-coding RNA is filed under the name Citrus x clementina. RNAcentral's name for it is "Citrus clementina (C. clementina) long non-coding RNA (CCLE_LNC000355)". Lineage: Eukaryota; Viridiplantae; Streptophyta; Magnoliopsida; Sapindales; Rutaceae. The record is from RNAcentral.
UUUUUUAACUCGAUACUGUGGUACUUCAAGUUAGGAACUUCUCUCGAAAAGGUGUUCUAGCAACAAGAUCAUUGUGAAAUCAAUUCUGUGGCAUGAACCUACAGCACCAAUUUAAUUAAUAGAAGCUCUUCGACAUUAGCAUCCAUUCGGGUCCCUAUUCCACCCCAUACUAGCCCAAGUCUUCCAUUGUUGAACUCUUCGUGCACAACGUUGAACCCUCAAUUCUUUUGUAAAACCUGACAAGCUUGGUAUGGUAAAGAUCGGAGUCAUUGAUGGUCAGCAACUCAGCAGUUUUACACCCACAAUCAUAUCUAUGUCUAACAGCAGCAGCUCCAAUGAACAAGCCGAUCCCAAAUAUUGAUCUUUCCAUGCCCAAAGUCUCCCUCUUCAAUCUAAUAGAGUUUAAGAGAACUCUUCCUUUUAACCAAACGCUUAUCAGCCCCUCAGCCCUCCCUAGCUCAUUCUCUGUUUCCAAGCUUUCUGCUGUGACGCUGAAAAAGGGUCGAAGAGUUUGAAGCUGGAUCUCAAGCUUCUUUA